This 1496-nucleotide ribosomal RNA is filed under the name metagenome. RNAcentral describes it as "bacterial SSU rRNA". It matches the Rfam family "Bacterial small subunit ribosomal RNA". The record is from RNAcentral.
AGAGUUUGAUCCUGGCUCAGAUUGAACGCUGGCGGCAUGCCUUACACAUGCAAGUCGAACGGCAGCACGUGAGCAAUCCUGGUGGCGAGUGGCGAACGGGUGAGUAAUGUAUCGGAACGUACCUUUCAGUGGGGGAUAACGUAGCGAAAGUUACGCGAAUACCGCAUAUUCUGUGAGCAGGAAAGCAGGGGAUCGCAAGACCUUGCGCUGAUUGAGCGGCCGAUAUCAGAUUAGCUAGUUGGUGAGGUAAAGGCUCACCAAGGCGACGAUCUGUAGCGGGUCUGAGAGGAUGAUCCGCCACACUGGAACUGAGACACGGUCCAGACUCCUACGGGAGGCAGCAGUGGGGAAUUUUGGACAAUGGGGGCAACCCUGAUCCAGCCAUGCCGCGUGAGUGAAGAAGGCCUUCGGGUUGUAAAGCUCUUUCAGCCGGGAAGAAAUCACAUGGGUUAAUACCCUGUGUGGAUGACGGUACCGGAAUAAGAAGCACCGGCUAACUACGUGCCAGCAGCCGCGGUAAUACGUAGGGUGCGAGCGUUAAUCGGAAUUACUGGGCGUAAAGCGUGCGCAGGCGGUUUGUUAAGACAGAUGUGAAAUCCCCGGGCUCAACCUGGGAACUGCGUUUAUGACUGGCAGGCUAGAGUAUGGCAGAGGGGGGUGGAAUUCCACGUGUAGCAGUGAAAUGCGUAGAGAUGUGGAGGAACACCGAUGGCGAAGGCAGCCCCCUGGGCCAAUACUGACGCUCAUGCACGAAAGCGUGGGUAGCAAACAGGAUUAGAUACCCUGGUAGUCCACGCCCUAAACGAUGUCAACUAGGUGUUGGGUGGGUAAAACCAUUUAGUACCGGAGCUAACGCGUGAAGUUGACCGCCUGGGGAGUACGGCCGCAAGGUUAAAACUCAAAGGAAUUGACGGGGACCCGCACAAGCGGUGGAUGAUGUGGAUUAAUUCGAUGCAACGCGAAAAACCUUACCUACCCUUGACAUGUCCAGAAGCUCUUAGAGAUUUGAGUGUGCCCGAAAGGGAACUGGAACACAGGUGCUGCAUGGCUGUCGUCAGCUCGUGUCAUGAGAUGUUGGGUUAAGUCCCGCAACGAGCGCAACCCUUGUCGUUAAUUGCCAUCAUUUAGUUGGGCACUUUAACGAGACUGCCGGUGACAAACCGGAGGAAGGUGGGGAUGACGUCAAGUCCUCAUGGCCCUUAUGGGUAGGGCUUCACACGUCAUACAAUGGUCGGUACAAAGGGUUGCCAACCCGCGAGGGGGAGCUAAUCCCAGAAAGCCGAUCGUAGUCCGGAUCGUAGGCUGCAACUCGCCUGCGUGAAGUCGGAAUCGCUAGUAAUCGUGGAUCAGCAUGUCACGGUGAAUACGUUCCCGGGUCUUGUACACACCGCCCGUCACACCAUGGGAGCGGGUUCCGCCAGAAGUAGGUAGCCUAACCGCAAGGAGGGCGCUUACCACGGCGGUGUUCGUGACUGGGGUGAAGUCGAAACACGGUA